RNAcentral lists this ribosomal RNA (465 nucleotides) under uncultured Proteus sp. RNAcentral's name for it is "bacterial SSU rRNA". It matches the Rfam family "Bacterial small subunit ribosomal RNA", at positions 338 to 795 of the family's 1533-position model. Lineage: Bacteria; Pseudomonadati; Pseudomonadota; Gammaproteobacteria; Enterobacterales; Morganellaceae. The record is from RNAcentral.
CCUACGGGGGGCAGCAGUGGGGAAUAUUGCACAAUGGGCGCAAGCCUGAUGCAGCCAUGCCGCGUGUAUGAAGAAGGCCUUAGGGUUGUAAAGUACUUUCAGCGGGGAGGAAGGUGAUAAGGUUAAUACCCUUAUCAAUUGACGUUACCCGCAGAAGAAGCACCGGCUAACUCCGUGCCAGCAGCCGCGGUAAUACGGAGGGUGCAAGCGUUAAUCGGAAUUACUGGGCGUAAAGCGCACGCAGGCGGUCAAUUAAGUCAGAUGUGAAAGCCCCGAGCUUAACUUGGGAAUUGCAUCUGAAACUGGUUGGCUAGAGUCUUGUAGAGGGGGGUAGAAUUCCAUGUGUAGCGGUGAAAUGCGUAGAGAUGUGGAGGAAUACCGGUGGCGAAGGCGGCCCCCUGGACAAAGACUGACGCUCAGGUGCGAAAGCGUGGGGAGCAAACAGGAUUAGAUACCCCAGUAGUC